Molecule: ribosomal RNA, 515 nt
Filed under: uncultured bacterium
Lineage: Bacteria
Description: partial 16S ribosomal RNA
Rfam family: Bacterial small subunit ribosomal RNA
Source: RNAcentral
GAUGAACGCUGGCGGCGUGCCUAAUACAUGCAAGUCGAGCGAAUGGAUUAAGAGCUUGCUCUUAUGAAGUUAGCGGCGGACGGGUGAGUAACACGUGGGUAACCUGCCCAUAAGACUGGGAUAACUCCGGGAAACCGGGGCUAAUACCGGAUAACAUUUUGAACCGCAUGGUUCGAAAUUGAAAGGCGGCUUCGGCUGUCACUUAUGGAUGGACCCGCGUCGCAUUAGCUAGUUGGGGAGGUAACGGCUCACCAAGGCAACGAUGCGUAGCCGACCUGAGAGGGUGAUCGGCCAAACUGGGACUGAGACACGGCCCAGACUCCUACGGGAGGCAGCAGUAGGGAAUCUUCCGCAAUGGACGAAAGUCUGACGGAGCAACGCCGCGUGAGUGAUGAAGGCUUUCGGGUCGUAAAACUCUGUUGUUAGGGAAGAACAAGUGCUAGUUGAAUAAGCUGGCACCUUGACGGUACCUAACUAGAAAGCCACGGCUAACUACGUGCCAGCCGCCGCAGUAA